GGAAUUUGGGCCUAGGGAUUUGAAAAUAAGAUUUGAUUAUUUGGAGGCCGAAUUGUUGUCGGAUUUUGGUAAAAUUUGUAUGGUUGGAAUCGUGGUUGGAUGGGGGUUCAUAUUCCGUAAUUUUUGUCGGGUUCCGAGACGUGGGCCCCACAUGCAAAAUUUUAGUGCAAUUUCGGAUUUUUAAUGGAAAAUGUAGAAUUUCAUAUGGAAUUAAUUCCUAUAAUUUUUAUUGACUGAAUCGAAUUAUUUGGCUAAAUUCGAGGCAUUCUGAGGUCGAUUUGAGCGGCAAAGGCAUUGCUGAGUAAGAGUUUUGCUAGGUAAGUAACGGUUAUAAAUCUGGUCCUGAGGGUAUGAAACCCCAGACAUUAUGUCGUAUGACUAUUUUGGAGGUGACACACAUGCUAGGUGUCGGGCGUGUGGGUGUGCACCGUAAUUGUGACUUGGUCCAUUCCGCGAGACUGUGGAAUUAAUUGACCUACUGUUUAAUACAUGUUCCCUCUGUUUUCAUAGAAAUUGACUGUAUUUCAUGUUAGAAAUCAUGUUUAGGCCUUAUGUGAUCAUUGUUGAGACCUGCGAGGUCGUGUACUUGUUGAAUUAGCUGCUAAUUGUUGUUUUGUACUUAGUCAUAGCUUUUCUUGCUUAUUAUGCCUCCGUCUCCUACUGUUCAUUGUUGAUAUAUGAUAUUACUUCUCUUUGGGUUGUUUAUAUGAUUUCUGAGAUCCCGAGAGACUAGAGAGAUUGAUGACUGAGUGAGGCCGAGGGCCUAAGUGUGAGGUUAUUGAUACUAUAGCACGUGAGUUGUCCGUGCGGAUCCAGAUAUUAUUAUAGCACGUGAGUUGUCCGUGCAACACGUGAGUUGUCCAUGCAGUUUAUAGCGCUUGGGCUGAAGGAGCCCCUCCGGAGUCUGCACACCCUCAAUGAGCGCAGUCAACUAUAUAUAUGGAUCGGGCUGCACGCAGCGGUUAUUAUAAGGUACCUGCUGAGUGUGAGUGAUGAUUGAUGAGAGUUGAGCCAUGAGGGACUGGGAGGCUUGCCCGAUGGGCUAUAUAUACAUACAUACGAGUGAUGCUUUGCCCGAGGAGCUUGUUUUGUGAAAUUACUCUCUUCACUCAUCUUUAUACUGAGCCUCUAUUAAAAACAUUAAACAAAUAUUUUGAACAACUUUCAUUGAAACUGGAUUUUUUACGAGAUGAUUGGAAUUAAAUUACUGAUUUGGUUUUGUUAUUUCCACUGAGAUUUUUAAGUUAUGAGAUAAGCUGAGUGACUGUUGCCUUGAGAGGAUGUAUUUGUUUUCAGUUAAUUGCUGCACUUAAUUGCUAUUUAUCCUUGUCGUACAUAUUUAUGGAGUAUUUGAUAUCUGGUUUAUUUGAGUACGCACUGAUGAGACUUAAACUGUUAAAUUGAAAGUAUGACUAUUCUUGUUGAAAGUUAUUGAGAUAACUGUAUUUUCAUAACUCGUCACUACUUCUCAGUUCCUUAUUUAUUUCUGUUACUUACUGAGUUGGUGUACUCACGUUACCUCCUGUACCUCGUGUACAUAUCCAGGCACUUCUGGUCACGGAGGUUGUUGAUUGAGGAGUCCAACUCAGGAGACUAUUGAGGUAGCUGCAUAGCAUUCAUUGACCAUGACUCUCAUGUCCUUUCAUGUUGUACUGUUCUAUAUUUCAGACAGUGUUUUAUCAGUCGGAUGUUGUUAUCAUUUAGAUGUUCAUGCACUCAGUGACACCAGGUUUUGGGGAUGGAUUGUUUAGUACUUUUGGAGUGAUAUUUUGUU
Molecule: long non-coding RNA, 1774 nt
Filed under: Nicotiana tabacum (common tobacco)
Lineage: Eukaryota; Viridiplantae; Streptophyta; Magnoliopsida; Solanales; Solanaceae
Description: long non-coding RNA (NTAB_LNC008713)
Source: RNAcentral